GGCCUAAUACAUGCAAGUCGAGCGAACUGAUUAGAAGCUUGCUUCUAUGACGUUAGCGGCGGACCGGUGAGUAACACGUGGGCAACCUGCCUGUAAGACUGGGAUAACUCCGGGAAACCGGAGCUAAUACCGGAUAACAUUUUCUCUUGCAUAAGAGAAAAUUGAAAGAUGGUUUCGGCUAUCACUUACAGAUGGGCCCGCGGUGCAUUAGCUAGUUGGUGAGGUAACGGCUCACCAAGGCAACGAUGCAUAGCCGACCUGAGAGGGUGAUCGGCCACACUGGGACUGAGACACGGCCCAGACUCCUACGGGAGGCAGCAGUAGGGAAUCUUCCGCAAUGGACGAAAGUCUGACGGAGCAACGCCGCGUGAGUGAUGAAGGCUUUCGGGUCGUAAAACUCUGUUGUUAGGGAAGAACAAGUACAAGAGUAACUGCUUGUACCUUGACGGUACCUAACCAGAAAGCCACGGCUAACUACGUGCCAGCAGCCGCGGUAAUACGUAGGUGGCAAGCGUUAUCCGGAAUUAUUGGGCGUAAAGCGCGCGCAGGCGGUUUCUUAAGUCUGAUGUGAAAGCCCACGGCUCAACCGUGGAGGGUCAUUGGAAACUGGGGAACUUGAGUGCAGAAGAGAAAAGCGGAAUUCCACGUGUAUCGGUGAAAUGCGUAUAGAUGUGGAGGAACACCAGUGGCGAAGGCGGCUUUUUGGUCUGUAACUGACGCUGAGGCGCGAAAGCGUGGGGAGCAAACAGGAUUAGAUACCGUGGUACUCCACGCCCUCAAACAAAGAAUGCUAUAAGUUAGAGGGAAUUCCGUCUCUUUUGUUGCUGCAGCUAAGCUCACUAAAAUUUUCCCACCUCGGGGGGGGGGGGGUGGCCGGAAGGAAAAAUUCAAAACAAAAAUGAAAAAAGGGCCCCGCGGGG
This 920-nucleotide ribosomal RNA is filed under the name Priestia flexa. RNAcentral describes it as "bacterial SSU rRNA". The stretch from base 1 to 814 matches the Rfam family "Bacterial small subunit ribosomal RNA", at positions 45 to 873 of the family's 1533-position model. Lineage: Bacteria; Bacillati; Bacillota; Bacilli; Caryophanales; Bacillaceae. The record is from RNAcentral.